UUUUUUUUUUUUUUUUUUUUUUUUUUUUUUUCAGAGACGCGGCGGCGUGCCUAAUACAUGCAAGUCGAACGAACUCUGGUAUUGAUUGGUGCUUGCAUCAUGAUUUACAUUUGAGUGAGUGGCGAACUGGUGAGUAACACGUGGGAAACCUGCCCAGAAGCGGGGGAUAACACCUGGAAACAGAUGCUAAUACCGCAUAACAACUUGGACCGCAUGGUCCGAGCUUGAAAGAUGGCUUCGGCUAUCACUUUUGGAUGGUCCCGCGGCGUAUUAGCUAGAUGGUGGGGUAACGGCUCACCAUGGCAAUGAUACGUAGCCGACCUGAGAGGGUAAUCGGCCACAUUGGGACUGAGACACGGCCCAAACUCCUACGGGAGGCAGCAGUAGGGAAUCUUCCACAAUGGACGAAAGUCUGAUGGAGCAACGCCGCGUGAGUGAAGAAGGGUUUCGGCUCGUAAAACUCUGUUGUUAAAGAAGAACAUAUCUGAGAGUAACUGUUCAGGUAUUGACGGUAUUUAACCAGAAAGCCACGGCUAACUACGUGCCAGCAGCCGCGGUAAUACGUAGGUGGCAAGCGUUGUCCGGAUUUAUUGGGCGUAAAGCGAGCGCAGGCGGUUUUUUAAGUCUGAUGUGAAAGCCUUCGGCUCAACCGAAGAAGUGCAUCGGAAACUGGGAAACUUGAGUGCAGAAGAGGACAGUGGAACUCCAUGUGUAGCGGUGAAAUGCGUAGAUAUAUGGAAGAACACCAGUGGCGAAGGCGGCUGUCUGGUCUGUAACUGACGCUGAGGCUCGAAAGUAUGGGUAGCAAACAGGAUUAGAUACCCUGGUAGUCCAUACCGUAAACGAUGAAUGCUAAGUGUUGGAGGGUUUCCGCCCUUCAGUGCUGCAGCUAACGCAUUAAGCAUUCCGCCUGGGGAGUACGGCCGCAAGGCUGAAACUCAAAGGAAUUGACGGGGGCCCGCACAAGCGGUGGAGCAUGUGGUUUAAUUCGAAGCUACGCGAAGAACCUUACCAGGUCUUGACAUACUAUGCAAAUCUAAGAGAUUAGACGUUCCCUUCGGGGACAUGGAUACAGGUGGUGCAUGGUUGUCGUCAGCUCGUGUCGUGAGAUGUUGGGUUAAGUCCCGCAACGAGCGCAACCCUUAUUAUCAGUUGCCAGCAUUAAGUUGGGCACUCUGGUGAGACUGCCGGUGACAAACCGGAGGAAGGUGGGGAUGACGUCAAAUCAUCAUGCCCCUUAUGACCUGGGCUACACACGUGCUACAAUGGAUGGUACAACGAGUUGCGAACUCGCGAGAGUAAGCUAAUCUCUUAAAGCCAUUCUCAGUUCGGAUUGUAGGCUGCAACUCGCCUACAUGAAGUCGGAAUCGCUAGUAAUCGCGGAUCAGCAUGCCGCGGUGAAUACGUUCCCGGGCCUUGUACACACCGCCCGUCACACCAUGAGAGUUUGUAACACCCAAAGUCGGUGGGGUAACCUUUUAGGAACCAGCCGCCUAAGGUGGGACAGAUGAUUAGGGUGAAGUCGAAAGAGGGGGGGAGAGAAAAAAA
Molecule: ribosomal RNA, 1548 nt
Filed under: Lactiplantibacillus pentosus
Lineage: Bacteria; Bacillati; Bacillota; Bacilli; Lactobacillales; Lactobacillaceae
Description: partial 16S ribosomal RNA
Rfam family: Bacterial small subunit ribosomal RNA
Source: RNAcentral